Long non-coding RNA from Tachysurus vachellii, 2334 nucleotides. RefSeq lists it as uncharacterized. The record is from RefSeq and is a predicted model, not a curated record. NCBI's taxonomy places the organism in Eukaryota, Metazoa, Chordata, Actinopteri, Siluriformes, Bagridae. The transcript is spliced from 6 exons.
AGCGAGAGACAGAGAGGGAGAGGGAGAGAGGGAGAGACAGAGACAGAGAGAGAGAGAGGGGAGAUAGAGAGAGACAGAGAGGGAGAGACAGAGACAGAGACAGAGAGGGAGGAGAGAGAGAGAGAGAGAGAGAGAGAGAGAGAGAGUGUGACUCACUCCACAUUGGGUGAACUUUAGCUCCUCCUGCACUUUCACUACUCAAAAAACAGCUCACAAACUUCAUCUUGCCAACAUUCAGUGCAGUGAUCAAGUCCAACCUGCUCGUCCUCAGUGUCUUUAACUCAUUGUGAAGUACACACUCUGUACCUGUGUGUUAUUAAACCUCUUACUACACCUCUAAACCUGAGAAGAGUCUGCUAAGUAUGUUUUAAAUAUAUCUUGUGGCUUUAGUUAAUUCAUCUGUGAUUGAGCACUGAAGAGAUUUUUUUAGUUUCAGGUGUAACAUGUGAUAGCAAAUAUAAUGCCUCAGAGAGACAAAGUGUUUUUGCAGGAGAAGACAUGAAGCAUCCUCCACUAUACACACUCAUCCUGCUUGUCGCGUUCCUCCACUACGGCUCCUCUUCAGACAGUGAUGAUCAGUGUGUACCUCUGUUUGUGACUGUUGGGGAAACAGCCAUCAUCAACUGCAGCAUCACAAAGAAAGAUCAGGACGGAGUUUUUUUGUACAGACGGCGAGAUGAGAAAAGCAGAGAGGAAACCAUGUCGUACUAUUUUAAAGACGGAACCUUUACCCCUGAGAAAAACUUCAAAGGCCGACUGGAGACUAAUAAGGAAAUUUCUCUGUGUCCAUGAAGAACAUGAGCGAGCACGACGGUGGAGUUUACUGGUGUCAGUUUAACCAACGUGAUGUAAAUACCAUCAGUCAGCGGACGUGUCUGUUAGUGCAGUCUGGAAUCAUACUGAUAUACAAAGAGGAAACGAAACUGAACCACUUUAUCUACUCGGGUGUGAUUGGUGGGCUGUCAUUCAUCAUUCUGAUCCUGCUGAUUGUACUGGUAAAGCAGUGUUAUGAUCGUGGACAUUACACACAGAAGCAGCAGCCCACUUCUAACGGUGUGGAUGAGGUCAUGCGUGAACACACUAGAAAAGCACUCAUUAACCCUGCGUAAGAAUCGACCCAGAGAUAAACACAUUUUGAUUUAUGUUAAUGAUUUGUGCUUACACUUUGUGAUUCAGAUUCACUGACACUAUGUGAUUCACUAACACUGUUAUUCACUAACACUGUGAUUCACCGACACUAUGUGAUUCACUAACACUGUGAUUCACCGACACUAUGUGAUUCACUAACACUGUGAUUCACCGACACUAUGUGAUUCACUAACACUGUGAUUCACCGACACUAUGUGAUUCACUAACACUGUGAUUCACCGACACUAUGUGAUUCACUAACACUGUGAUUCACUGACACUAUGUGAUUCACUAACACUGUGAUUCACCGACACUAUGUGAUUCACUAACACUGUUAUUCACUAACACUGUGAUUCACCGACACUAUGUGAUUCACUAACACUGUGAUUCACCGACACUAUGUGAUUCACUAACACUGUGAUUCACCGACACUAUGUGAUUCACUAACACUGUGAUUCACCGACACUAUGUGAUUCACUAACACUGUGAUUCACCGACACUAUGUGAUUCACUAACACUGUGAUUCACCGACACUAUGUGAUUCACUAACACUGUGAUUCACUGACAGUAUUUGAUUCACAAACACUGUGAUUCACUGACACUAUGUGAUUCAUUAACACUGUGAUUAACUGACAAUAUAUGAUUCACUAACACUGAUUAAAACAGAGAUUAUGUUUCAGAUCUCACACACACACAAACUCAUAAUAUUUGUUCAUUUAAAACUGCAUAUAUGUGUGUGUAUGAGCAACAUAAAGAUGAGUUUACAUUAACACUAACCCUUUUCUUUACUGUAAUCCACAGAUCAUGGUUAUCAGUGUUGUAAUGUAACGGAGUAUCUGUACUUUACUUCGCUAUUUAAAUUUAUGUCAACUUUUACUCCACUACAUUUCCUAGAUAAAAUGUCUACUUUUACUCCGUUAUAUUUCCACUAAUCAUCUUCGUUACUCGUUUCUACAAACUAAAAUCAGAAGAAAUGUGUGUGACUGCAAUAAGGGAUGUUUGGUGAAUCACUGCUCCUAGAUUACAUUACGCUCCGCACGCACUACGGAGAAGCACAGGGACGCGCAGCGUGCACGCGCAGUCAGAGCUGGAGGCGUUUAUCUAUAACGUUAAUCUGGUGAAAGCCGCAAAGACGGCAACCAAAAGCAGUGAAAUGUCACUAUUCUUAUUACUAGAGUUGUAGCACAAACAAAAUAUUAAUGCAAA